RNAcentral lists this ribosomal RNA (253 nucleotides) under uncultured bacterium. RNAcentral's name for it is "partial 16S ribosomal RNA". It matches the Rfam family "Bacterial small subunit ribosomal RNA", at positions 524 to 776 of the family's 1533-position model. The record is from RNAcentral.
UACAGAGGUCCCAAGCGUUGUUCGGAUUCACUGGGCGUAAAGGGUGCGUAGGUGGCUUGGUAAGUUUGAUGUGAAAUCUCCGGGCUUAACCCGGAAAUGGCAUUGAAUACUAUUGAGCUGGAGGUUUGGAGGGGGGACUGGAAUUCUCGGUGUAGCAGUGAAAUGCGUAGAUAUCGAGAGGAACACCAGUGGCGAAGGCGAGUCCCUGGACAACACCUGACACUGAGGCACGAAAGCUAGGGGAGCAAACGGG